Molecule: transfer RNA, 67 nt
Filed under: Marmota monax (woodchuck)
Lineage: Eukaryota; Metazoa; Chordata; Mammalia; Rodentia; Sciuridae
Description: tRNA.Val
Source: RNAcentral
GGAUGGAGCUCAGUGGUAGAGUGCCUGCCUCACAUGUGUGAGGCACUGAGUUCGAUCCUCAGCGCCA